Molecule: small nucleolar RNA, 139 nt
Organism: Sorghum bicolor (sorghum)
Lineage: Eukaryota; Viridiplantae; Streptophyta; Magnoliopsida; Poales; Poaceae
Rfam family: Small nucleolar RNA Z247
About the family: Z247 is a member of the C/D class of snoRNA which contain the C (UGAUGA) and D (CUGA) box motifs. Most of the members of the box C/D family function in directing site-specific 2'-O-methylation of substrate RNAs.
Source: Rfam
CCCCUGGAUGAUGAAGAACUGGCGGCGCACAUCUGCAAUGGUCUUGAUGCUGAUUACAACUCAGUGGUGAUGUCGGUCACCGCUAGGGCUGAUCCCAUCUCGAUUUAUGAGCUAUAUGCCCAAUUGCUCAGUUUUGAGA